UACGUAGGGUGCAAGCGUUGUCCGGAAUUAUUGGGCGUAAAGAGCUCGUAGGUGGCGGGUCACGUCGGGUGUGAAAGCCCGGGGCUUAACCCCGGGUCUGCAUUCGAUACGGGCUUGCUAGGGUCCGGCAGGGGAGACUGGAAUUCCUGGUGUAGCGGUGAAAUGCGCAGAUAUCAGGAGGAACACCGGUGGCGAAGGCGGGACUCUGGGCCACUACUGACGCUGAGAAGCGAAAGCAUGGGGAGCGAACAGG
Molecule: ribosomal RNA, 253 nt
Filed under: uncultured bacterium
Lineage: Bacteria
Description: partial 16S ribosomal RNA
Rfam family: Bacterial small subunit ribosomal RNA
Source: RNAcentral